CGCACGAGAAAUCCUGGGCAACCGGGAGAGUAAAGUGGCGCACGGGUGAGUAACGCGUGGGUAACCUACCCUCCAAUUGAGGAUAACUCUUCGAAAGGAAAGUUAAUACUCAAUAAUAUUUCGAUCUCUGAGGGGAUUGGAAUCAAAGGUGGCCUCUGCAUGCAAGCUACCGUUGAAGGAUGGGCCCGCGUACCAUUAGCUAGUUGGUAGGGUAAUGGCCUACCAAGGCGACGAUGGUUAGCUGGUCUGAGAGGAUGGCCAGCCACACUGGAACUGAGACACGGUCCAGACUCCUACGGGAGGCAGCAGUGGGGAAUAUUGCGCAAUGGGGGAAACCCUGACGCAGCGACGCCGCGUGGGUGAUGAAGGCCUUCGGGUCGUAAAGCCCUGUCAGGUGGGAAGAAACGCAUUGAUGAUAAUACCAUCAAUGUUUGACGGUACUACCGGAGGAAGCACCGGCUAACUCCGUGCCAGCAGCCGCGGUAAUACGGAGGGUGCAAGCGUUGUUCGGAAUUACUGGGCGUAAAGAGCGUGUAGGCGGUUGGGCAAGUCAGAUGUGAAAGUCUUCCGCUCAACGGGAGAAGGGCAUUUGAAACUACCUGGCUAGAGUACGGGAGAGGAGAGCGGAAUUCCCGGUGUAGAGGUGAAAUUCGUAGAUAUCGGGAGGAACACCAGUGGCGAAGGCGGUUCUCUGGUCCGAUACUGACGCUGAGACGCGAAAGCGUGGGGAGCAAACAGGAUUAGAUACCCUGGUAGUCCACGCCGUAAACGAUGGGCACUAGGUGUAGGAGGUAUUGACCCCUUCUGUGCCGAAGCUAACGCAUUAAGUGCCCCGCCUGGGGAGUACGGCCGCAAGGCUAAAACUUAAAUGAAUUGACGG
This 880-nucleotide ribosomal RNA is filed under the name uncultured bacterium. Its description in RNAcentral is "bacterial SSU rRNA". It matches the Rfam family "Bacterial small subunit ribosomal RNA", at positions 63 to 916 of the family's 1533-position model. The record is from RNAcentral.